GAUGAACGCUCCUGGAGUGCCUAAUACAUGCAAGUCGAGCGAACGGACGAGAAGCUUGCUUCUCUGAUGUUAGCGGCGGACGGGUGUUUAACACGUGGAUAACCUACCUAUAAGACUGGGAUAACUUCGGGAAACCGGAGCUAAUACCGGAUAAUAUUUUGAACCGCAUGGUUCAAAAGUGAAAGACGGUCUUGCUGUCACUUAUAGAUGGAUCCGCGCUGCAUUAGCUAGUUGGUAAGGUAACGGCUUACCAAGGCAACGAUGCAUAGCCGACCUGAGAGGGUGAUCGGCCACACUGGAACUGAGACACGGUCCAGACUCCUACGGGAGGCAGCAGUAGGGAAUCUUCCGCAAUGGGCGAAAGCCUGACGGAGCAACGCCGCGUGAGUGAUGAAGGUCUUCGGAUCGUAAAACUCUGUUAUUAGGGAAGAACAUAUGUGUAAGUAACUGUGCACAUCUUGACGGUACCUAAUCAGAAAGCCACGGCUAACUACGUGCCAGCAGCCGCGGUAAUACGUAGGUGGCAAGCGUUAUCCGGAAUUAUUGGGCGUAUAGCGCGCGUAGGCGGUUUUUUAGUCUGAUGUGAAAGCCCACGGCUCAUCCGUGGAGGGUCAUUGGAAACUGGAAAACUUGAGUGCAGAAGAGGAAAGUGGAAUUCCAUGUGUAGCGGUGAAAUGCGCAGAGAUAUGGAGGAACACCAGUGGCGAAGGCGACUUUCUGGUCUGUAACUGACGCUGAUGUGCGAAAGCGUGGGGAUCAAACAGGAUUAGAUACCCUGGUAGUCCACGCCGUAAACGAUGAGUGCUAAGUGUUAGGGGGUUUCCGCCCCUUAGUGCUGCAGCUAACGCAUUAAGCACUCCGCCUGGGGAGUACGACCGCAAGGUUGAAACUCAAAGGAAUUGACGGGGACCCGCACAAGCGGUGGAGCAUGUGGUUUAAUUCGAAGCAACGCGAAGAACCUUACCAAAUCUUGACAUCCUUUGACAACUCUAGAGAUAGAGCCUUCCCCUUCGGGGGACAAAGUGACAGGUGGUGCAUGGUUGUCGUCAGCUCGUGUCGUGAGAUGUUGGGUUAAGUCCCGCAACGAGCGCAACCCUUAAGCUUAGUUGCCAUCAUUAAGUUGGGCACUCUAAGUUGACUGCCGGUGACAAACCGGAGGAAGGUGGGGAUGACGUCAAAUCAUCAUGCCCCUUAUGAUUUGGGCUACACACGUGCUACAAUGGACAAUACAAAGGGCAGCGAAACCGCGAGGUCAAGCAAAUCCCAUAAAGUUGUUCUCAGUUCGGAUUGUAGUCUGCAACUCGACUACAUGAAGCUGGAAUCGCUAGUAAUCGUAGAUCAGCAUGCUACGGUGAAUACGUUCCCGGGUCU
Molecule: ribosomal RNA, 1371 nt
Filed under: uncultured bacterium
Lineage: Bacteria
Description: bacterial SSU rRNA
Rfam family: Bacterial small subunit ribosomal RNA
Source: RNAcentral